AGUGAACGCUGGCGGUAGGCCUAACACAUGCAAGUCGAACGGCAGCACAGUAAGAGCUUGCUCUUACGGGUGGCGAGUGGCGGACGGGUGAGGAAUACAUCGGAAUCUACCUUUUCGUGGGGGAUAACGUAGGGAAACUUACGCUAAUACCGCAUACGACCUACGGGUGAAAGCAGGUGAUCUUCGUACCUUGCGCGAUUGAAUGAGCCGAUGUCGGAUUAGCUAGUUGGCGGGGUAAAGGCCCACCAAGGCGACGAUCCGUAGCUGGUCUGAGAGGAUGAUCAGCCACACUGGAACUGAGACACGGUCCAGACUCCUACGGGAGGCAGCAGUGGGGAAUAUUGGACAAUGGGCGCAAGCCUGAUCCAGCCAUACCGCGUGGGUGAAGAAGGCCUUCGGGUUGUAAAGCCCUUUUGUUGGGAAAGAAAAGCAGCAGGUUAAUACCCCGCUGUUCUGACGGUACCCAAAGAAUAAGCACCGGCUAACUUCGUG
Molecule: ribosomal RNA, 492 nt
Filed under: uncultured bacterium
Lineage: Bacteria
Description: partial 16S ribosomal RNA
Rfam family: Bacterial small subunit ribosomal RNA
Source: RNAcentral